CCUACGGGGGGCAGUAGUGAGGAAUAUUGGUCAAUGGACGAGAGUCUGAACCAGCCAAGUAGCGUGAAGGAUGACUGCCCUAUGGGUUGUAAACUUCUUUUAUAUGGGAAUAAAAUGUUCCACGUGUGGGAUUUUGUAUGUACCAUAUGAAUAAGGAUCGGCUAACUCCGUGCCAGCAGCCGCGGUAAUACGGAGGAUCCGAGCGUUAUCCGGAUUUAUUGGGUUUAAAGGGAGCGUAGGUGGAUUGUUAAGUCAGUUGUGAAAGUUUGCGGCUCAACCGUAAAAUUGCAGUUGAAACUGGCAGUCUUGAGUACAGUAGAGGUGGGCGGAAUUCGUGGUGUAGCGGUGAAAUGCUUAGAUAUCACGAAGAACUCCGAUUGCGAAGGCAGUUCACUGGACUGCAACUGACACUGAGGCUCGAAAGUGUGGGUAUCAAACAGGAUUAUAUACCCUGGUAGUC
RNAcentral lists this ribosomal RNA (460 nucleotides) under uncultured bacterium. RNAcentral describes it as "partial 16S ribosomal RNA". It matches the Rfam family "Bacterial small subunit ribosomal RNA", at positions 338 to 795 of the family's 1533-position model. The record is from RNAcentral.